UCAUACCGGUGAGCCCAAGUUCUUUAAGUUUUCAAAUGUGGGCCCGCCAGGGAACCACGCGAAUUGGACUUCGCGCAGUUCGUGCGCGGAAUGGACAUAGGCGGACUAUACAGUUCGCUCGCGGGAUGACUUCGCGCGGAAUGGACAUAGGCGGACUAUACAAUUCGCUCACAGGAUGACUUCGCGCGGAAUGGACAUAGGCGGACUACACACUUCGCGCGGACUACACAGUCCGCAUGCGGAUUUACUAUUUGCCAGUCCGCGUAGGCGAGGCGAGAUUGACUUUCCGCAUAGGCGAGGCGAGCUUGCGAACUGGCUCGCGUAAGGGACUUCGCGAGGAAGACACAUGCGGAGUCCGCGCGUCUUACAAUAAACGUUAAAGACUUUUACAAGUCCUUGACAUGCUUCGGGCCAAUCCCUGUGGCCCUUUUGAUAUAAAAAGCCUUUCUAAAGCCCGCGAGCUAGAACGGCCCGCGAGUUGGAAUUAGAAGCCUACGCGAAGUAUGCGAACUGGACAGGUGUCACCAAUUGGUUGGCCUGCAUGGAGUAAACCUUGUCCUUGUCGAUUAGGGUUUCAGAACCCUAUUUGGGAUUCAAAGUUAACUUCCUUCCGCUGGGGAUCGAACUACUAUAUAUACUCUCUUAAACAGACAAUCAAGGGACUCUCUCAAAUCAAUACAAACACAAACCAAUACAAACUGAAACCCAGUUCCCUUUGAGCUACUCGAAACCCUAACCCUAAGCGCCGCCGCCUAGGUUUUUCUCCAGAGCCCUCCGGACCCCUUUUAGCUUCUCUCUGAACUCCCUAUAAUUGCUCUGCUUGCGCCGCCGUGAGUAUCGAUCGCUUGUGCUCGUAAAUCCUCCUCCGAGGUGGCACCUGUAACCCCCCUUUUGCCUGAUCAAGAAGUCAAGCGCACCCCCAACAACCUUUUCCUCGUCCGGGAGGUGGCACGCCCGUAACACUCUCCUCUCUUUGUCUGCUAGUUACCUCUGCUCCGCGUGCUGAGGAUCGUGGCCAAAACAUUGGCACGCCCAGUGGGACAAGGAGUACAAAGCGAUCACCAUUGGGAAACCGGAGGAAGCGCCGUACCGGAAGCCUCAGCUUUCUUGCCUCAAGCACAGAGCGCUACGGUAUAAGCCCCAUAACAGUGCGGCUUGCCGAUCCCUCACUCAAGAAGAGGUCCUUGCUCAGUUUGGUGAUCCAGACUUUAGCGAGACCGCCAUGGUAGGCUCUCAGCCGACCCAAGACACAGGUUCCGCUCCGUCCAUGGAGCGAAUCUCUCAGAUGCUCGAGCAGUUGACAAGUCAAGGUUUGGCCACUCAACAAAGUAUCACCGACCUUGCUGGGAAGGUUGACGGCCUUGCUGAACAGGUCACAAGGGACAAGACCCUUUGGGAAGCAGACCAGCACAACCUUACCGUGCUCACUGAGGACUUCAACUAGUUUGUCAGCGAAGUAAGGGAAACCAAGGGCUUGGUCGAAGGAAGCCUUCAGCAGAUUCGCUCGGAUCUAAACCAGAACACGGAGACCGUGAAGCAAAACGCGGAGACUGUGAAGCAACAUGCAGAGGUCCUGUCGCUCACUCGUGCGACAGUGGAUGAGCAGACUCGCCGCUUGUACGACCACGAUACCAAGCUGCAUGACCAGCAGAACGCUUCCUUCUUUGGAAGUAAGAACAGUCUAGAAAAGCUAGACGAAUUCAAAGAUAAACAGGACCGGCUGAACCUACGGAUUCUUGAGGUUGAAGACUGGAUGAGGGCACAGGCACCAAAAAACCCUGCUCUAAACCCUACCGGCCCAAGCGCAAGCGAAGGGACGCCCAAGUACAUCCCUCCCAAUGAAUGCACCAGGGGAAACCCUAAGGUCGGGACUCCGAAUGCCCCGCAGUUCGGGUCAGGGGCAGGAACGUCAAAGAGUCCGCUCCCCCAUGGCUCGUUUGCCUCUCCAAAGGGACUGCAUAAUUCUUUUCGCCAGGGAACCGGGACACCAGAUGACCCGUUUCUGGUUUGUCCCAGCCUUGCUCCCAAGAAAGGCGGACAGGCCGUCAGUUUCUCUGCAUGGCCGAACCAUGGGGAAGGGGCAGAGGCCGUACCCGUGGCAACAGCCGACUGGCGCCAGCUUAUCUCCUCCAUCAUCAAGGAGCAAACCAGACACGGUAAUGCUAACUUGCAGUAUCGCGACCCCUACCCGGAUAGUGUGGCGCAAUACCAUUUCCCGCAUGGGUUCAAGAACGUAGUGUUCACUACUUUCUCUGGAGAAACAGGGGAAGACGCAGCAACCCACAUGGCUCGCUUCAAAGUUCAGUGUGGCCAGUACGGGAACAAUGACAUCCUCAAGCUCAAGUUCUUUGGGACCUCUCUGUCCGGAGCUGCAUUUACUUGGUAUUCCAGGUUGAAGCCGGGAUCCAUCGCGGACUGGCCCACCAUGGAGAAACUGUUCCGGGAGACCUACGGUACCAUUGAGCCCGAGGUCGGUCUCGACUCCCUCACCCAAAUGAGCCAGCAAAGCAUGGAGUCGGGCCUUUCCUUCCUCCAACGGUUCAAGAUCCAACAAGCCAAGUGCGACUUCCUCCUACCCGAACAAGAAGCCAUUAAGUUGGCUGUUUGCGGCCUCGAGCACCGCCAACGAUUGAAGCACCAUGGGGAACGCUUCACGUCUAUGGGCGAUUUGAUUAAUAAGGUCGGCAGUUAUGAACUAAUCCUCAACAAGAUGGACGAGAAAGCGAAUGCCUCCAAAGGGACGUACGUACCGGGGAGGAACAGGAUAGUCGGGGCGCUAAACCUUCAAUCCUCCACGUUUGACCCUUACUACCAAAGGCAAGAGGACUUUGAGGCCGCGCAAGGAUAUGCUGACGACGUCGGAGCAGUCGAACUAACCGGGAAACCUUUGGCUCACAAACUGAAGAAUCUCAAGAUGACCCGUGAGCCAAUCACCAUUCAGUCCUUUGCAUGGACUAAGCCCGAAUACGAGUCUUACACGUAUGAUGCGAAAAACGCCCAUCUUUUCUUUAAUGACUUGAUUGAGGCGAACUACGUGCGCUUGGACCAUAAGAUCCCGUCCAAGGAAGAGUUAAAGGACAAGAAGUACUGCAGUUUCCACAACGCCUACAAUCACGACACCAAGGACUGUGUCAAACUCCACGACCAACUGCAGACUUGGUUGAAUUCGGGCGCCCUGAAAAUGAAGACGCCAGGAAGCACAGCUUCUCUGGUGGACGUGGAUCCCUUCCCCGCUGUGGUUGGUAUGGUCGAGGUAAAUUGGAACGACCAGCCAAAGGAGCGCAGCCGCCGUCGCGCACCAAAGCCAGACGAGCGGAGAAUCACCUUGGACCUGGCCGAACACCCAGAGAAUGAUAAUCCGCGCCGCGCACUCAAGCGAGACAGAGAGGUUGGUAAUGAUGACACACGUCAGCCAUCUCGCUGGUACACUUACAACGUCAACCUCGCGCACUAGGUUUUAGACAAUCUUAUUGAUGGCGAACUCGUCACUGUAUCAAGGGCCUUACCCUACGUUGAAUACAAGGAAGGUUGCGUCCAUUGCAAGUUCCAUGACAGUUGGGGACACAGAACCCGCGAGUGUUACCAGCUCCGCGAACAAGUUCAGGACCAGCUAGACCUCAAGUAUAUUUGCUUUGAGGACAAAGGUGGCUUUAUGGUCACAAUUGCUGACGACGUUUGGCCUCGCGUUGGCCAGCGCGCGAUAACUUUGGACUUAUCUCCAAGUGCGGGCCAACGCGAACCGCCAGGUCGAAACCGCAAGAGACCGGCGAACGACUACACCGUUCUGGCAAACCAAAAUGGGAAUCACUACCCAGCAAGGGAGUUAGCCGCCAGACCGCAGUCCAAUCGCCUCUCAAGAAAGGAUAAAGGCAAAGCUACUAUGCUGGACGAUAUACCGUCCCCAGCUGACAACUAUCAACCCAUGAGUCACAGGACUCGCGAAGAGCUAGAACAGAGGAUCAAGCGCCUCGAAACCUUCGUCCAAUCACACUGGACUACAGAUAUACCUUCGUCUCCAGCUUCAAGCGUGAUGGACAUCUCCGAGUCUGGCAGCGAACACCAGGACAGCGAGGCAUCAAGCCCUCGACGAGGUAUCUUGACCGACCCCUACAUUCCUCCGACAUCCAAAUCAGCAAUCAAGGAAGGGAUUUGGUACACACCGCAUGGGGGAAAGUUAGUUACCAUCAGCAAGUCUAAGAAACGGAAGCUACAGAAGAAGUAUGGCAGCAUCCUGCGUGCCUUGCGAGCAGCUGAUGAUGGCAUUAUCCGACCCUCGUAGCUCGCGCAGACACCCGAGAGGAUGUGGAGAGAAGCUGAAGGCUUGCGCGCUCUCCUCCAAAGACCACUUGUCACGCCUCCACGUGUCUGUGCGCAGGUAACAGACGACCCCGCUCCAAAAGCGAAUGUCUUCUGUCGCCUCACCAUACCACCAAGGCAGGAUCCACACCCCUUUAGGCACAGAUCAUCUCCGGAGCCAGAAAGGAGAAUGGAUUCACAAUCUUCCCAUCACAAGCCUUCGUCAGAACCUGAAAGAAGAAGGGAUGUGUUACCUCCUCCAAGCCGCAAGCGGUCGCCGGAAGCCGAACGACGGAGAGACCCGCCACCUCUACCAAGGCGUAGGCAGUCACCAGAGGUUGAAAGAAGACGAGAACCGUCUUCCCCAGCGAAGCGACGACUGUUCGUCUCAUCCAGGCUCGAGGCAAGGCGCGAGCCGCAUCGGUCAUCACAUCCCCAGAAACCUCUUCGCCAAGAAACUGAGGCUAAAAAGGAGCCAUCGCGACCAUGCCCGCCCCAACCAGAACCGGAACAGGAGCCUCAGGUCUCAAUCCUUCCUCCGUCUAAAGCAGAGGACGAUGCUAACAUUCCUCUAGCCGCAGAUAGGCAUUCAGCUGCAGACAAGCAGCCCUCGCCCAAACUCGUGUGGCGACCACGGCAGCCAGAGGGUAACAUCUCGCUAGGGGUCGAACGUAGCACCUCUAGCCCUAACCUCGCGGAACUCAUGGCCCAAUGCUUCCGCAAAAAUUCACUGAACGAGGAGACUCAUUCCGAGCCUCGCAUCGACUUGGGCGAAGACCAAGCAGAAGGGCAGGGUGAAUCAUUCACCUGCAAUAUGCUCGAGAUCUCUGCAUGGCCAGAACAUGAAGAAGUCAACCCAGCGGAGAGCGCAUUCGCCGUGCUCGAAGGAGACAAUGGACCCAUCGAGACUCCACUAGUCCCAGUCCACGAACAAUUCUCUUUUCAGGUCGGAAUGGUUUUCUUCAUAUCUGAGAGAUACGCUCUCCCACCAAAUACAACAUGCAACGCGGCGGAUAUUCCAGCCAAUAGCGAGAAUGUCUGCGAUAUAUCCCCCCCCUUGCAGCAGUGAGAUGGGUCCAGUCCUGGCGGAGCCUGCGAACGCUCCACCAUUGGAAGCUAUGAGCAGCAUCACACGCAUGCCGACUCUGACUUUCUCUACUCCGACCCUAGACAUGGCCACUCACAUGAGGCCAUUGUAUAUCACGGCUGAAGUUGAAGGGAUCAUGAUAAACAAAAUCAUGGUCGAUACCGGGGCUGCAGUGAAUGUCGUCACCACCCGCACUAUGGGACUCCUUGGUAUCCCACGCUCGAUGAUCCAAACUACAUCCUUGACAGUCAAGAACUUCACCGGACAAGUCUCCAGGACUCUAGGUUUGUUAUUCUUACGGGUCAAGGUGGGACCGGCUUCAAGGGUCUAUACAUUCUUUGUCGCCGAGUGCGCUUCAUCCUACAGCAUGAUCCUAGGCCGCGACUGGAUACAUAGAAGUUUCUGUGUGCCUUCCUCCAUGCACCAAGAGCUCCUGAUUUGGGAUACUGAGAAACGCGAGACGGUCCUCAUCCACGCGGACCCGCGUCCUUUCUCCAUUUUCGCCAACUUCAAUGACGCCCGCUAUUACAAUACUGACUUGGGCCCAUUGGAUGUCCAAGGCGUCGAUUCUAAAGGCCGCCCAUAUGGGGUCACUGCCUCCAACUUAACGCGAUGGGGACUCACUCAGGCGAGAGACGAUUUACAAUGUCCUCACACCAUCGUGGACCCCCUACAACCAUCUUAUGAUUAGCACAUCCUCAGAAGAAGCACGCGAGGCUGGCGAGUCCUUGUGUGAGAGACUACUCUCGUAUUGGGCAGAACGCGAAGCCUACGACAGGGUUGCCACGAUGGAGUAUGUAGACGAGAUAGUAGACUAUACCGAUACCGAGGAGGAAGUUAUUCAGUUAGCUCCCGCUGCCUUGGACGACACACCGCCUCAAGUCCGCGAUCCCACCUUACAAGUCGACGUGGGGACUGCAGAGAAACCCUUAUUACUUUCCAUCAGUGCCAAGUUGGCGGGACAAGAAAAGGAAGACCUUCUCGCCUUACUACAUGAAUAUAGGGACUGUUUCGCCGAGCAGUACGAGGACAUGCCUGGCCUAUCCCCGGAUUGAGUUUGUCACCGUCUGCCUACUCAUCCCGACAGACGUCCAGUCCGCCAAGACGGCAGAUUCAUACGAACUGAGACUUAGAUCUUGGUCAAAGAAGAAAUUGAGAACAUGCACCGAUCAUGUAUCAUUCGCGUGGCCAAAUACAAUGCAUGGUUGUCCAACAUCGUUCCAACAUGGUUGUCCAACGGGCGUCUGUGUUGAUUACCGUGACCUCAACAACGCAACGCCUAAGGAUAUAUAUCCCAUGCCUGUUGCUGACCUCCUCAUUGACGCGGCCGCGGGGCAUGAAGUGCUAUCCUUUAUGGAUGGAAUUGCUGGGUACCAUCAGAUCCCUGUUGCUGAAGAAGAUCGCCACAAGACUGUUUUCCGCUGCCCGGGGUUCGCAGGUGCAUUCGAGUAUGUCGUCAUGUCAUUCGGACUCAAGAACGCAGGGGCAACAUAUCAACGCGCCAUGAACCUUAUCUUUCACGACAUCUUGGGCAAGUUGAUCGAAGUCUACAUCGACGACGUCGUGAUUAAAACUAGGACGCGGGUGACACAUGUUGAAGACCUUCGGCAAGUUUUCACGCGGAUGCGGAAACACCAUCUGAAGAUGAACCCUGCCAAAUGUGUUUUCUUCGCGGAGGCAGGUGACUUCCUAGGGUUUCUAAUCCAUCAAAGGGGUAUCGAAAUCCCCAAAGACAAGGCGCAGGCGGUAAUAAACGCCUCGCCUCCCACAACCAAAAAAGAGCUUCAACAAUUGAUCGGGCGAAUCAACUUCCUCCGCCGUUUCAUUUCAAACGCGACAGGGAAGGUUCAGCCUUUCUCGCCUCUUUUAAAACUCCAAGGGGCGACCGAGUUCGUAUGGGAGUCACAACACCAGGAAGCCUUCGAUCGUAUCAAGGACUAUCUUGCGAACCCGCCUGUUUUGGUUCCCCCUCGCCCGGGCGUGCCACUUAAGCUUUACAUCAUCGCUGCUGAUUUUUCUAUUGGCGGACUCUUGGCACAAGACGAUGAGAAUGGGGUGGAACACGUCGUUUACUAUCUUAGCAGGUUGUUGACCGAUUGCGAGACGCGCUACUCCCCAAUGGAAAAGUUGUGUCUCGCCCUUUUCUUUGCAGGUUGCAAGCUCCACCAUUGCAUGUUAGCUUUUACCACGGUGGUGAUCGCUCAGUCCGACCUAAUUAAAUAUAUGCUUUCCCGCCCUAUCCUACGGGGACGCAUAGGUAAAUGGAUAUUGGCCUUGUCUGAAUUCUCUUUGUAGUAUGUUCCGCAUAAGGCAGUUAAAGGACAGGCCAUAGCGGACUUCCUCGCUCAUCACCCGCCCACCGAGUUGACAGCAUUCCGCGAGUUGGAGGUCGCCGCAGUCUCCCUUACUCCCUGGACUCUCUACUUCGAUGGCUCGCGUACUGAACUCGCUGCAGGUGCUGGGAUCGCCAUCGAGAACCCUGCAGGAGACCGGUUUUCUUACUCUUUCUAGCUGGACUUUAAAUGUACGAAUAAUCAGGCGGAAUACGAGGCGCUCAUUAUCAGAUUGGAAAUCUUGCUGGACUUAGGAGUCCGCGAGGUUCAAGUCUUUGGCGACUCCUUAUUGGUCGUCAACCAACUAAUGGCGAAGUUCAAGUGCUUAAGUUCGUCCAUCGAGCCUUACUUGUGGAAAGCCUUCGAUGUCUUGGACCGUUUCGACGAUGUUCACAUUGAACACAUCCCGCGCGAAUUCAACUUCGCGGCGAAUGAGCUUGCGCAGAUCGCAUCCGGUCUUAGCCUGCGCGAUGGAGUGCGCGAACGACUCCUCAAAGUCGAGCGACGUACACUUCCUUCUUUUCUUGCCCGGGGGCAAUAUGACACAGAACUUCUUACCGUCGCUGCCUUAGAUCCUAUCGAUGAAGAUUGGCGGCUACCGUUUAUUGCCUACCUCGAACACCCUCACGACGCCACCCAUUCCAGGCAAAUGCGGUUUCUCGCCCUCAACUUUGUGCUUCGCAAUGGUGAGCUUCGCCGGCGCGGCGAGGACGGUAACGAUUUCCGCUACGUAUAUGGCAAGGAGGCUAAGCGCCUUAUGCGUGAGGUGCAUUCCGGUGUUUGUGGUUCGCAUCAGGCUGGACCCAAGAUGCGUUGGUUAAUCCGUCGCCACGGCUACUACUGGCCUACCAUUCUCAAAGAUUGUAUUACUUUUGCCAAAAGAUGUCAGGAUUGCCAGGCUCACGGACCAGUGCACCACAAUCCAAACAUUCCGUUACAGCCGAUCGUCAAACCCUGGCCAUGUCGAGGUUGGGCGAUAGACUUCAUCGGUCUCAUUCAUCCCCAUUCCUCUGAGCAGCACAAGUUCCUUAUCGUGGCCACCGAUUUCUUUACCAAGUGGGUUGAGGCCGAGCCACUCAAGGUUGCUUCCGCGACCUCGGUCCGUAACUUUAUUUUCAGCGACAUUAUCUCCCGCUUUGGUAUUCCAGAAUGCAACGUGACAGACCGGGGGGCAGCUUUCAUGGCGGAUUCUGUAGUCACUUUCCUCACUGGUUAUGGCGUCACACUCGGGCAUUCAACCCCUUAUUAUGCCCAGUUCAAUGGUCAGGCGGAGGCGAGCAACAAAGUUAUCCUCGGUAUCUUGCGCAAGAUGCUAGAGUUGAACCCCCGCGUUUGGCAUCUAGAACUUCACCAUACUCUGUGGGCCUACCGUACCUCCAAGCGAGGUCCGACCGCUACCACCCCUUAUGCUCUCAUGUAUGGCCAUGAUGCCGUCUUCCCCCUGGAGGUUCACGUCGCCUCGCUUCGUGUCCAGGAACAGCACCAGUUGCUCGGCAACGACUACGUCUAGACAAUGUGGCAGGAGCUUGAAGACCUUGACGAACAUCGCAUCACUGCUUUCAACAAUCUCAUCCUUGAGAAGCAACGCGUUGCGCGGUCGUAUGAUAAAGUCACUCGAGGUCGGAGUUAUGCCGAAGGCCAAACGGUAUGGCGUGCUGUGCUCCCACUUGGAGAAAAAACUGAAGGCCACGGGAAAUGGUCCGCGCGUUGGGAGGGACCAUUUAUCAUUCAUCGCAUCUUGCCUAAGGGGGCAUACCAUUUGCGCGACCUUGACGGUACACUCCAUCCCAAUCCUAUUAAUGGUCGUUUCCUAAAACGCCACAUCGCUGGUGUUUAGGAGCGCGCGGACCCUCCUCUUCCUCCUGAUCCCGCGACCACUGUUAUUAGUGUUACACGCCGUCGCGCUUACGCUCCAUCACCUCACACUAGGGGGCAACCCGAGGGACCCGAGGGAGAAGCAUGCAAUUAGUUUUUCUUUGUAAACGUGCGUGGUCUAACUAACAGACCAAUACAAGAUUGGGGCCUAUUCUAGAGGCCCUAAGUAAAGUUUUACGUGCAAACUAGUUAUGUUCAUUUCUUCAUUUCUUUCUUUGUUUCCUGUGUAAACGUACCAAGUCUAACUAACAGACCAGUACAAGAUUGGGGCCUAUUCCAGAGGCCCUAAGUAAAGGAAAUAUUUCAAGUUGUUUUGCUCCACAUCUAGGCUAACCCCUGUGGCCUCCAAAUUUUCAAAACAGGUUCGCCAGCUUUAUACGCCCGUUCGCCGACUUCUAUUGGUUGCCUUUCAUCUGUUCGCACUGGGGGGCAGCGAAGGGCAUGGCCUCUAAUUUAUUUAUUUUUUCAUCUCUCUCUGGUUUGCACUGGGGGGCAGCGAGGUACUUGACCGUUAUCAUUCCAUGUUUAUCACCAAGUUGAUUCGCCAACGCCAAGAGCAUGCGAAUGCAAAAGUAGAGCAGGCGAAUGCGGGCAAAGUCCAAGUCCAAGGUGCCUAGGCGAGCCAUGCAGCAAUUCGCGGCAUUGCCUUGUUGGGUGAUUGGGUUUCAAGGCCCAUUCACAGGCUUGUUUACACAUUUAUUUUAUGUAUGACCCAAGCCAAUGCCAGUGGCUUUGGAGCAACAUGAACAUAAACCUCUUCAGUCAUUCUUGACAUUCAUGACUUCGAGGCUAGGGGGCAAUGUUUACGCCUAGAUUAAUAUUUUACUGGACAGUAAAUGUCUAUGUGAAUAUUAAUUACUUUCUUGGUCCAUGUCAUACCGGCGAGCCCAAGUUCUUUAAGUUUUCAAAUGUCGGCCCGCUAGGGAACCACGCGAACUGGACUUCGCGCAGUUUGUGCGCGGAAUGGACAUAGGCGGACUAUACAGUUCGCUCGCGGGAUGACUUCGCGCGGAAUGGACAUAAGCGGACUAUACAAUUCGCUCACAGGAUGACUUCGCACGGAAUGGACAUAGGCGGACUACACACUUCGCGCGGACUACACAGUCCGCGCGCGGAUUUACUAUUUGCCAGUCCGCGUAAGCGAGGCGAGAUUGACUCUCCGCAUAGGCGAGGCGAGCUUGCGAACUGGCUCGCGUAAGGGACUUCGCGAGGAAGACACAUGCAGAGUCCGCGCGUCUUACAAUAAACGUUAAAGACUUUUACAAGUCCUUGACAUGCUUCGGGCCAAUCCCUGUGGCCCUUUUGAUAUAAAAAGCCUUUCUAAAGCCCGCGAGCUAGAACGGCCCGCGAGUUGGAAUGUCACAUCCCAGGACCCGUUCCGCCGUAACACGAUAUUGUCCGCUUUGGGCCCACCGGCCCUCACGGUUUUGUUUCCGGCAGCUCAGGAGCAGCUUCCCAGUAGGUCACUCAUCCUGGGAUUGCUCUAGCAUCAACAUGCUUAACCUCGGAGUACCCAUCCCCUCCAAAGCCGCUGAGCCACCAAAAGGCCUCGUGUUAGAUUGGAGGUGGACAUGUACAUAUACAGCACAUAACCCCUCUCCGUUUGGCCGAUGUGGGAUAUUACAAUCCACCCCCCUUGGGAGUCCGACGCCCUCGUCGGCACACUCGCACCACACGGCAGAGUGGCUCUGAUACCAUUUGUCACACCCCAGGACCUAUUCCGCAACAUUUAAUAUUCAACCAAAAACUAUAGCAUGCAUUUAUUUAAAAUAAACGUCCACUCACAAAUUAGGCCUAAGCCUGAUGUCGAUCUGGGGCCUCGUUUGCUCGAGCCUCCUCACGUCCUGUUCCAAAUAUAAUAUUAAUUUCCCAACCAAUAAUCCAAUAUUUAAUCAAAAUAGGCAAAAUUACCCGAGAGCCAUAAAUACGCUCAUCAUUGCCUAACUUCGAUAUUCUUAAAUCGGAACGAUCCGAACUUAAAUAUCAUACUCAACAGUCGUAAAUACAACCUCCCCAAAAUACGACUUAAAUCAUACUGCCGGAUUCUACAUUAAUUAACCGCCAAAAAUACCAAACUUCGGAAAUUUACAAACCUAUCCAAAUCUCAUCCAAAAAUUCCAUAAAUCACAUCAAUAUAAUCCCCUUAAUAUUCCACACUUAAAACCCUAAAAAUCUCUUAACCGGCGGCGGCCGGAGGCCAAUUCCGACGACCUCCAAAACCUAUGAAAUUUUGACAGAAUAAUCUCCUCAUCAUGCUCUACAACUUUCAUGACCAACACAUCACCCAAUUCCAAGCCUAACUAGGCUAAUCGAACGAAAACAACUUAAAAGCCCUAGAAAUUUCAACUCCACAUUUCUCCUUACCUAGCUCAAGAGGGAGGGAGCUGCUUGGAGGGGUUGCUGCACGGGAGGAGGGCUACAAAACGUACCAAGCUUGCCCGGAUUGGUGGCCGGAGGAGGGAGUUCCGGCGACCGGAAGUUCGGGGUAGCCUAUCCUUUCGGGCGACACCGCUCUCUCACGGCGGCGUUAGGGGGGCUGCUACCGGCCUAGAAUGGAAGCUGGGUUGGAGGCCGUUCGAUUGGGACCGGUACGGCGGUCUGGGGCGGCCGGACGGCGACGGUCUAGCGGUCGGAAAAUCGGACAGCGGGAGGGGGUGCGGGUGCAGGAAAACCAGGAGGAAAAAGAGAGGAAAAGAGAAUGGGUUUGGGCCUCACACCCCAACCCGGUCCAUCAUAUAUCAACCCACUCCAAAAUAAAACACCCCGAAAAAAUAAUACCCGAAUAAAAAAUUACCUUUUACUAGCUAAAAUUUACUAUUUUUACCGUCGUCGUAUUUUCCUCUUACGAAUAAUCCUCAGCACAAUAAUCGUCCUCGAAACCCCUCUAGGGACCAAUUAAGCUAUUGACUCAAUGAUCGAGACGGUAAAAUUCUUAUUAUAAUCACGCUAGUAAAUAAGGUAAAAAUAUAAGGGUCGGGAUGUGACAAUUCUCCCCUCCUUAAAAAAAUUUCGUCCUCGAAAUUAACAUACAUGUCAUCCGAAGAGAUAGGGAUACUACUGCAUCAUUUGCUCCUCUGAUUCCCAAGUAGCUUCUUCUACUUGAUGACUUCUCCAAAGCACCUUGACAAGCGAGAUUGUCUUGUUCCUAAGCACUUGCUCCUUUCGGUCGAGAAUCUGAACCGGAUCCUCUUCAUAGGACAAAUCUCUCGUCAAACUAAUCGGCUGCUCUUGCAGCACAUGAGAAGGAUCGGCAAUAUACUUGCGAAGCAUGGAUACAUAUUUUAACGUCAUUUUAAUUUGACGAUUUUUAUUCCUUUUGUAGAGUUACCGAAAAUGGGAUUUCGGUGAAUAUAAAUAUGUAUUUAUUGAGAGAGUAUGUAUAUAAAAUGCUAGCUAGCCAUAUGUGUCUGUCCACCUUAAUGGCGUAGCAUAUAGCCGCAUUAUGGUGUGACGUGAGCGUUGGACGUGAGCGUAGUAGCCCUAUUUGAGUGUUUAAUUCAUAUAGGGGGUAUGGACACAUAUUUAUACACCCGUUUGUCCACCUUGAUGGCGUAGUGUAGCACCGCAUUAAAGCGUGACGUGAGCGUUGGACGCGAGCGUAGUAGCCCUAUAUAGACCCAUGAAUUUAUAUAGGGAGUAUGGACGAGUGUAAAUACAUACAUAUAUUUUUUAGAGUCUGAGAGACUCGAUAUAUUAUGAGAUAAAAGUUUUAUCGUUUGCGGCAUGCAUUCGAUUUUUCUUUGGAAAUUGAGUUGGGGAAACAUAAAUAUUUUAUUUAAUAAUUUAUUUUUGUCCACUCACUCUAACGUUUUUAAAUGUUUUUCCCCUGGGCCCUUCGUUUUUAAAAAUGCCCAGUCUGCAGAGUUCGGGUUGGAUCUAGAAGGAGGCGAGGCAUAGUCACCCGCAUUUCUGCCAGUUUUCGUCAGUAGGUUACCUGUUCAACCUACUUGUGUUCUCUUGCUUCCGCUUGUGUUUAGUAGCUCUGAAUACUUUGGGAUUAUUGUAUAUUAUGUUUAGAGUUUCUGAAGGAUAAUUAUGUGAUGUUUGGACGUUUUGUAUUAAGGGUGAAAUUUGGAAUUUUCAAGUUAGGGUUGUCCAUCUUUAAGGGAGAUUUUAUCAAUUCUUUCAGUAAAUUUUCCUUGGAGGUGGUCCCCGCACGAUUUACUCCGGGUUUCAGGGUGAAAUUCGGGGUGGGUUGUGUCAUGGAAUUAGAAGCCUACGCGAAGUAUGCGAACUAGACAGGUGUCACCAAUUGGUUGGCCUGCAUGGAGUAAACCUUGUCCUUGUCGAUUAGGGUUUCAGAACCUUAUUUGGGAUUCAAAGUUAACUUCCUUCCGCUGGGGAUCAAACUACUAUAUAUACUCUCUUAAACAGACAAUCAAGGAACUCUCUCAAAUCAAUACAAACACAAACCAAUACAAACUGAAACCCAGUUCCCUUCGAGCUACUCGAAACCCUAACCCUAAGCGCCGCCGCCUAGGUUUUUCUCCAGAGCCCUCCGGACUCUACCCCUUUUAGCUUCUCUCUGAACUCCCUAUAAUUGCUCUGCUCGCGCCGCCGUGAGUAUCGAUCGCUUGUGCUCGUAAAUCCUCCUCCGAGGUGGCACCUGUAACCCCCCCUUUUGCCUGAUCAAGAAGUCAAGUGCACCCCCAUCAACCUUUUCCUCGUUCGCGAGGUGGCACGCCCGUAACACUCUCCUCUCUUUGUCUGCUAGUUACCUCUGCUCCGCGCGCUGAGGAUCGUGGCCAAAACAGGAAUAUUUACCGAAAAUUCGGCAUAAUCUACCUUGAACAUAGACAACCCUUAUCUGGAAAAAAAAAAUCCACCGUACACUUCUAUAACCAACCAAACCAGCCUCAACACUUGGAGUCUUUCUGUUCCCCAAGUUCAUCACAUCUCCCAAAAUAUCACAUACUAAACUUCUGGAAUUCCACAACCAACAACAAAGCCAACAUUAAUUCACGAACUGGUUAUUAGAGCAUAUCUAAUAAUGAAAGAAUAACAAUGAAUAAAGAUUAAGCGGAAGCAGCCUCUGACUAUGUCUCGACUCCAUGUACGCUCGACCUCAAUUAAACUUAGCCUGCAAACUGGGCAUUUAAAACCAAAAGACCCAGGGGAAAGUAAUUUUAAAAACGUUAGAGUGAGUUGACAAAAUAAAUUAAAUAAUUUAACAAAUUACGUAAUUUAAAUAUUUUCCCACGUUUCAGUUUAAAAAAAAACUUAGCUGCACGCAACUUUGAUAAACCAUAUAACUUAAAUUUCAGAAACCCAUAAGAAUGGACAAACCAGCCCCGUUGGUUAAUCAAAUAAAUCAAUCUCGUAAGAAGAGAUAAACCAGCCCCGCUGGUUAAUCAAAUACAUAAUUGAGAAAAAUAAAAUAAGAGAAAGAGUUAUCACCAUGUAAAAGAAGUCUUCAAGGCUCGGGUCAAUGCCUCCCAAGCUAUAGUAGCGUCUCACGCUAAGCGCUCAACUCACCUAUGGUGAGGACCGCUAAUAAGAUUAACUAGCAAUAAAUAAUAAUAUCUGAUCGGUACCUCCCAGACUAUAAUAGUGUCCCACGCUAAGCGCUCUACUCAUCUAUGGUGAUGACCGCUAAUAAGACUAGCUAGCAAUAAAUAAUAAUAUCCGAUCGGUGCCUCCUAGGCUAUAAUAGCGUCCCACGCUAAGCGCUCUACUCACAUAUGAUGAAGACUGCUAAUAAAGGCUAGCUAGUAAUGAAAUAUGAGCGUCCCUAUAAUAUGGUGACUAAAAACAUACGAAACCACUUAAAUCAAUUAAACUUCCCCAAGAUCAUAUAAAUAGUACGGUUCCCAACCGUACCUUAAAAUUUUCAUAAGAAAUUAACAUAAAACUCAAUGACGUGUUUCACACGUCAAAAUAUUCUUAAAUCCUUAAUUAUAAGCGAGAUUUAAUCCUCAAGUAAAAAUUUAUUAAUAUCUCAAUCCGAAAUACUCGCUAAAAUAUUCUCAAGGUCAAAAUCAAUCUUCCACAAAUAAACAAUA
RNAcentral lists this long non-coding RNA (15593 nucleotides) under Fragaria vesca (wild strawberry). RNAcentral's name for it is "long non-coding RNA (FVES_LNC001601)". Lineage: Eukaryota; Viridiplantae; Streptophyta; Magnoliopsida; Rosales; Rosaceae. The record is from RNAcentral.